Long non-coding RNA from Grammomys surdaster, 439 nucleotides. RefSeq lists it as uncharacterized. The transcript has 3 exons. The record is from RefSeq and is a predicted model, not a curated record. NCBI's taxonomy places the organism in Eukaryota, Metazoa, Chordata, Mammalia, Rodentia, Muridae.
UUGUUUCUAGGAGGGCUGCCGUGAGCCAACGAGUUUUUUGGCGGGUCUCUUGAAGUGACAGAGGACAUAAGAGGUAGGGCUGUCAUGGGCGCGGGGCGCCUUGAGUGCUGCCCUCAGACGCGCAGGUGGAGAAAACCUGAAACCUCCUGAGAAUGGAGAUCUCUGUGACACAGAUGGCAGGCUUACCCUAAAGUGCAGCAGCCACAAGCUGCUCCUGUUUAGUGGGCAAUGGGACUUUUUCAGCAGAACAUCAAACAAAGGAGACUGAGCUGGCUUGUGACAUGGCCCUGCAAGCACUUCCUACCAAGCCUGACAGAAACCCUGUGGAAAGAUUGAACCAACUCCAGCAAGUUGUUCCCUGACCUUGGCCCAUAGACAUUGGCAUAUGUGUGCACACAUGGACACAAAAUAAUUGUAAUAAAGCAUGUUUUAAAGAGGA